AUUGAACGCUGGCGGCAUGCCUUACACAUGCAAGUCGAACGGCAGCACGGACUUCGGUCUGGUGGCGAGUGGCGAACGGGUGAGUAAUGUAUCGGAACGUACCUUUCAGUGGGGGAUAACGUAGCGAAAGUUACGCUAAUACCGCAUAUUCUGUGAGCAGGAAAGCGGGGGAUCGCAAGACCUUGCGCUGAUUGAGCGGCCGAUAUCAGAUUAGCUAGUUGGUGGGGUAAAGGCCUACCAAGGCUACGAUCUGUAGCGGGUCUGAGAGGAUGAUCCGCCACACUGGGACUGAGACACGGCCCAGACUCCUACGGGAGGCAGCAGUGGGGAAUUUUGGACAAUGGGCGGAAGCCUGAUCCAGCCAUGCCGCGUGAGUGAAGAAGGCCUCGGUUGUAAGACUCUUCGUGGAGAA
RNAcentral lists this ribosomal RNA (412 nucleotides) under uncultured bacterium. Its description in RNAcentral is "bacterial SSU rRNA". It matches the Rfam family "Bacterial small subunit ribosomal RNA", at positions 30 to 444 of the family's 1533-position model. The record is from RNAcentral.